GUGAUUCUUCUGCCUCAGCCUCCCAAGUAGCUGGGAUUACAGAAACUCCUCCUACCCAUGGAAUCUGCCAGCAGUUGGAUUCUUGACUAUCUUUAGGACUUUUCCUAAUCUCACCUUCUCCAUCUGUGAAAUGGAAAUAAUCAAAGGCUCAACAAUCCUUCUGUGAAAGAGGCAUAUUUUGUGGUGCUAUGUGCUGAUCUUCCACACAGCCAAAUGGAGGCAGAGGUCACAGAGGAACUAGAAGGAUGGAAAACUGCAGGAGAGUCUCGUUGCCAUCACUCAGUCAAUCAACCAGUUUUGGAUACCUGCCAUGUGCCAAGCCCUGACUGCAGUAAAAAGGAUACCAAAAUAAAUUACUUACUGCUCUCAAAAAGCAAACCGUUUGCUGGCAGACUUGAUCAUAUACCAAUGA
This 412-nucleotide long non-coding RNA is filed under the name Homo sapiens (human). RNAcentral describes it as "HSALNT0302367". Lineage: Eukaryota; Metazoa; Chordata; Mammalia; Primates; Hominidae. The record is from RNAcentral.